UGAGGAAUAUUGGUCAAUGGACGAAGGUCUGAACCAGCCAAGCCGCGUGAAGGAUGAAGGUGCUGAGCAUCGUAAACUUCUUUUGUCAGGGAACAAAAUCGUGGAUGCGUCCGCGAGUGAGUGUACCCUGAAGAAAAAUGCAUCGGCUAACUCCGUGCCAGCAGCCGCGGUAAUACGGAGGAUGCGAGCGUUAUCCGGAUUUAUUGGGUUUAAAGGGUGCGUAGGCGGGCUGUUAAGUCAGCGGUAAAAGCCCCGGGGGACUCAACCCCCGGCGAGCCGUUGAAACUGGCGGUCUUGAGUUGGCGAGAGGUAUGCGGAAUGCGCAGUGUAGCGGUGAAAUGCAUAGAUAUUGCGCAGAACUCCGAUUGCGAAGGCAGCGUACUGGCGCCAUACUGACGCUGAGGCACGAAAGCGUGGGGUAUCGAACAGGAUUAGAUACC
RNAcentral lists this ribosomal RNA (440 nucleotides) under uncultured bacterium. Its description in RNAcentral is "bacterial SSU rRNA". It matches the Rfam family "Bacterial small subunit ribosomal RNA", at positions 355 to 786 of the family's 1533-position model. The record is from RNAcentral.